Molecule: ribosomal RNA, 253 nt
Filed under: uncultured bacterium
Lineage: Bacteria
Description: partial 16S ribosomal RNA
Rfam family: Bacterial small subunit ribosomal RNA
Source: RNAcentral
UACGAAGGGGGCGAGCGUUGUUCGGAUUUACUGGGCGCAAAGGGCGCGCAGGCGGUUCUGUUUGUCGAGUGUGAAAGCCCCGGGCUCAACCUGGGAACUGCGCUCGAAACGGCGGAACUAGAGUUCGGGAGAGGAGAGUGGAAUUCCCAGUGUAGAGGUGAAAUUCGUAGAUAUCGGGAGGAACACCAGUGGCGAAGGCGGAGACCUGGGCCAAUACUGACGCUGAGGUGCGAAAGCGUGGGGAGCAAACAGG